GCUUUCGUAGUGUAACGAUAGCACACUCAGCGCGCAUUUGAAAGGCCCAGGUUCGAGUCCCGGCGAGGGCA
Non-coding RNA from Stegodyphus mimosarum, 71 nucleotides. NCBI's taxonomy places the organism in Eukaryota, Metazoa, Arthropoda, Arachnida, Araneae, Eresidae. The record is from Rfam.